This 262-nucleotide long non-coding RNA is filed under the name Brassica napus (rape). RNAcentral's name for it is "long non-coding RNA (BNAP_LNC018459)". The record is from RNAcentral. Lineage: Eukaryota; Viridiplantae; Streptophyta; Magnoliopsida; Brassicales; Brassicaceae.
GGAUCAUCUUCCUAUGUAAUAUCAGUCACAUGAGUAUAAGAUAAGACGUUUGUUCAUCAGAAUCGGGAAUGUCGUGACUCAAUAUGUAAAAGUCUACACAUGUCUUUAGAUCAUACUCAUGACCAUUUCAUCUGAGCCAUCUCUUCCUCCUCUGCUUGGUAAGUUUAAGCUUUGCUCUCAGACAAUAUGCAACAUGUUGCUUGCAUCAAUUAACAUCCAUAUACCAGAUUUUGAAGCAAAUAAUAUUCACAUACACCUAAAC